GAUGAACGCUGGCGGCGUGCCUAAUACAUGCAAGUCGAGCGAACAGAUGAGGAGCUUGCUCCUCUGACGUUAGCGGCGGACGGGUGAGUAGCACGUGGAUAACCUACCUAUAAGACUGGGAUAACUUCGGGAAACCGGAGCUAAUACCGGAUAAUAUAUUGAACCGCAUGGUUCAAUAGUGAAAGACGGUUUUGCUGUCACUUAUAGAUGGAUCCGCGCCGCAUUAGCUAGUUGGUAAGGUAACGGCUUACCAAGGCAACGAUGCGUAGCCGACCUGAGAGGGUGAUCGGCCACACUGGAACUGAGACACGGUCCAGACUCCUACGGGAGGCAACAGUAGGGAAUCUUCCGCAAUGGGCGAAAGCCUGACGGAGCAACGCCGCGUGAGUGAUGAAGGUCUUCGGAUCGUAAAACUCUGUUAUUAGGGAAGAACAAAUGUGUAAGUAACUAUGCACGUCUUGACGGUACCUAAUCAGAAAGCCACGGCUAACUACGUG
RNAcentral lists this ribosomal RNA (497 nucleotides) under uncultured bacterium. RNAcentral's name for it is "partial 16S ribosomal RNA". It matches the Rfam family "Bacterial small subunit ribosomal RNA", at positions 28 to 507 of the family's 1533-position model. The record is from RNAcentral.